This 417-nucleotide ribosomal RNA is filed under the name uncultured bacterium. RNAcentral's name for it is "bacterial SSU rRNA". It matches the Rfam family "Bacterial small subunit ribosomal RNA", at positions 358 to 772 of the family's 1533-position model. The record is from RNAcentral.
GGAAUUUUGCGCAAUGGAGGCAACUCUGACGCAGCCACGCCGCGUGCAGGAGGACGCCCCUACGGGGUGUAAACUGCUUUUCUGCGAGAAGAAGGCCUUGCUUUGGGCAGGGUGUGACGGUACCGUAAGAAUAAGGAUCGGCUAACUACGUGCCAGCAGCCGCGGUAAUACGGAGGAUCCAAGCGUUAUCCGGAAUCAUUGGGUUUAAAGGGUCCGUAGGCGGUUUUGUAAGUCAGUGGUGAAAUCCGGCAGCUUAACUGUCGAACUGCCAUUGAUACUGCAGGACUUGAAUUACUGUGAAGUAACUAGAAUAUGUAGUGUAGCGGUGAAAUGCUUAGAUAUUACAUGGAAUACCAAUUGCGAAGGCAGGUUACUAACAUUAUAUUGACGCUGAUGGACGAAAGCGUGGGUAGCGAA